CUGCUGCCUCCCGUAGGAGUUUGGGCCGUGUCUCAGUCCCAGUGUGGGGGGCCUUCCUCUCAGAACCCCUACGCAUCGUCGCCACGGUGGGCCGUCACCCCGCCGUCUAGCUAAUGCGCCGCAUGCCCAUCCGCCACCGGAUCGCUCCUUUGGCCACCGGAGGAUGCCCUCCGGUGGCGUCACGGGGUAUUAGGCCGCGUUUCCGCGGGUUAUCCCCCUGUGGCGGCCAGGUUGCAUACGUGUUACUCACCCGUGCGCCGGUCGCCGGCGGG
This 272-nucleotide ribosomal RNA is filed under the name uncultured bacterium. Its description in RNAcentral is "partial 16S ribosomal RNA". The record is from RNAcentral.